AUACCGCAUAACACUUUAGUACCGCAUGGUACAGAAGUCAAAGCAUAAUGUGCUGAGAGAUGGUCUCGCGUCUGAUUAGCUAGAUGGCGGGGUAACGGCCACCAUGGCGACGAUCAGUAGCCGGUCUGAGAGGAUGAACGGCCACAUUGGGACUGAGAUACGGCCCAGACUCCUACGGGAGGCAGCAGUGGGGAAUAUUGGGCAAUGGGGGAAACCCUGACCCAGCAACGCCGCGUGAAGGAAGAAGGCCUUCGGGUUGUAAACUUCUUUUAGCAGGGACGAAGGACGUGACGGUACCUGCAGAAAAAGCAACGGCUAACUACGUGCCAGCAGCCGCGGUAAUACGUAGGUUGCAAGCGUUGUCCGGAUUUACUGGGUGUAAAGGGCGUGUAGGCGGAGCUGCAAGUCAGAUGUGAAAUCCCGGGGCUCAACCCCGGAACUGCAUUUGAAACUGUAGCCCUUGAGUAUCGGAGAGGCAAGCGGAAUUCCUAGUGUAGCGGUGAAAUGCGUAGAUAUUAGGAGGAACACCAGUGGCGAAGGCGGCUUGCUGGACGACAACUGACGCUGAGGCGCGAAAGCGUGGGGAGCAAACAGGAUUAGAUACCCUGGUAGUCCACGCUGUAAACGAUGAAUACUAGGUGUGGGAGGACUGACCCCUUCCGUGCCGCAGUUAACACAAUAAGUAUUCCACCUGGGGAGUACGACCGCAAGGUUGAAACUCAAAGGAAUUGACGGGGGCCCGCACAAGCAGUGGAUUAUGUGGUUUAAUUCGACGCAACGCGAAGAACCUUACCAGGACUUGACAUCCAACUAACGAAGUAGAGAUACAUUAGGUGCCCUUCGGGGAAAGUUGAGACAGGUGGUGCAUGGUUGUCGUCAGCUCGUGUCGUGAGAUGUUGGGUUAAGUCCCGCAACGAGCGCAACCCCUAUUGUUAGUUGCUACGCAAGAGCACUCUAGCGAGACUGCCGUUGACAAAACGGAGGAAGGCGGGGACGACGUCAAAUCAUCAUGCCCCUUAUGUCCUGGGCUACACACGUAAUACAAUGGCCGUCAACAGAGGGAAGCGAAACUGCGAAGUGGAGCAAAUCCCUAAAAACGGUCUCAGUUCGGAUUGCAGGCU
Molecule: ribosomal RNA, 1121 nt
Filed under: uncultured bacterium
Lineage: Bacteria
Description: bacterial SSU rRNA
Rfam family: Bacterial small subunit ribosomal RNA
Source: RNAcentral